Molecule: non-coding RNA, 294 nt
Organism: Pelobates cultripes (western spadefoot toad)
Lineage: Eukaryota; Metazoa; Chordata; Amphibia; Anura; Pelobatidae
Source: the annotation of a GenBank genome assembly
CAAAGGCAAUCCUCCAGCGUUUCAAAUUUAUAUAUUACAUUGGGGUAGAUGAGAAACAUGCACAUUUUUGGUAUUAUUAGGAAAAGGUUAAUACAAUACGUUGCAUACAAGUUUGGUCAAUUAUGUCCUGUCGAUUAGGUCUGCAAAAUUUUAACAACAACAGUGAGGAGUGCGUUAGAUCAUGCUUAACCUGUCCUGUUGAUUAGGUCGGCAGAAUUUUAACAUCAACUGUGAGGCUUUAAUGCAAACCAGCUGAACUAGUAGUGCGUUAGAUCAUGCUUUUAUGUCACAGUG